Molecule: transfer RNA, 84 nt
Filed under: Aspergillus fischeri NRRL 181
Lineage: Eukaryota; Fungi; Ascomycota; Eurotiomycetes; Eurotiales; Aspergillaceae
Description: tRNA-Ile (TAT) (tRNA-Ile-TAT-2-1)
Rfam family: tRNA
About the family: Transfer RNA (tRNA) molecules are approximately 80 nucleotides in length.
Source: RNAcentral
GCCCCUGUUGCUCAUGUUGGUCAGAGCGCCGGCCUUAUACGCCAGAUAAGCGCGUACACGUCGGUUCGAUUCCGACCGGGGGCA